AGGUGUGAAACUGGGUGUGGGUCCCAAUCAGCCAGAGUUUCGGAAGCAAAUGGAAAGAGAAUAAAAAUGGGACAAAAAAACACAUUAAGUUCAGUUUUAUUUCUUUAUCGACACCGGAAGGAGACGCGGAGGAUUUCUGGAUCUGUUCUUUGAAGGCUUUCUUCACUUCUAGUUGUUGCCGCUGUAGAUCUACCUGCAACACCUCUUGGGAUGAUGCACACAGGGGUCGGGGUUUUGGGAGAGGGGAGGAGGGAUUAUGGGGGGCAGUUAUUCCACUUGUUUGCCAAACUAAUGGCUUCAUAACUCCAAUCUGUUACAUAAAAGCAGGUCUAAACUCUACAUGUUUAAAAAAAAAAAAGUUGUUCCUGACACUAACUUGACUAAUGAUUAAGCCGCUCUGGGUUUACCUAGUACUUAACAUGUCCACUCUCCAUUUACUGACUGAACAGUGUCUCUUUCCAGUCAGUGAAAUUCAGCCCAUGUUUAACGGCCAGUGCAAGUGUAACUUCCUCUUGUAUUCUGCGUAACACGUGGAAGUACAAUCAAUCAUUAAUUUAAAGCAGGUGCUGCUCAGCAAUAGGAACAUGUUGUUAUCCAUGCCAAGUGUGUCAUUACAAAGCACAGACAUUAACACUACAGACACAGGACUAACUCUAUAUGUGGCCAAAAGAAACUGCUCAUGUAUUUGUGAUUAUGUAAAAGGUGUUUCUAAUAAUCUGAUUUACGACACUUUUAACCUCUCGCUUUAGGGCAUGUGAUUGUUCAUUAACAUUUUGUCCCGCUGUUUUCUGUAUGUAUGUAAGAGCCCAUUAGACGUGCUUUUACCUGCCUGUAUCUGUACCUGUCUUUAAUUUAAAAACACAUUAUGGCCUUACACAAUUUGGAUAGUGGCAGAAAUUGAAUGUAUAUCACAUUAGAAACAUAUUUCUGAUAAUGUUUGUAUUUAAUGAAUCUACUGCAAUGACUUGUUGCAAUAGUUGUUUUCCACACUGGAAUCAUUUUACUAUCAACCAAAACCUUCACUGCUGUUAGUCUGUAUCUUUAUAAAUGUUGCUUUUGUGGGAAGCCUUCAAAAGAAACUAAAUUAAAUUUUUUUUUUUUUUUUUUUUUGAACACUGAAAAUCUGUAUGCUAUGCUUUUUUUUUAAGGAAAUGUUAAUCCUUUGCACAGAUAGCAUAAGAAAAUGAUUAUUAUGAAGUGUCACUUUUUUGACUUAUUUUACGACUCGCACAUUAGCAGGUCAGAAGGUUCAGUCUCAGGUGUUUUAUAGUCAAAGUGAAAAGACUGAAGGAUAUGCAAACAUCAACAUUUUCCAGAUCAUAUAUUGUGUAAAGUGCAUCUGAGGAACAGAGAACUGCAUCAAGUGUGAUGCUCAAAAGUUUGAUGUCAUUUUGAAAUGUGGUUUCACUUUUUUAAUCUGAUAUUAAAGCCAUCUGAACAGCUG
Astatotilapia calliptera (eastern happy) is the source of this 1444-nucleotide long non-coding RNA. NCBI's taxonomy places the organism in Eukaryota, Metazoa, Chordata, Actinopteri, Cichliformes, Cichlidae. The record is from Ensembl.